AGUGGAAAGUUUCUGUUUUCCGGAAUGAUUUUAAGUUAAUGAAAUGCUAUAAAAACUCUAGCGCCAAUGUUUUAACCAUAACCUUAGUCGACUCUCUUGUGUUUAUAAAGUCAUGUUUUAGUCUUGCUAAGCUUUGUGACAUAGUUGAAACUUUUUUCUUUUGACGUCAUUUGGAAUGAUUUUAUUAAAUGAAAUUCUACAAGAACUCGUGCGCCAAUGUCUAUUAACUUUCGUCAACUUCUUGUGUUAAAGACAUUUUUAAAGUCUAACCAAGCCGUGUAAAGUAACGGUAUUGAAAAUUUUUUUCCUUAGAUGUCAUUCGGAAUAUGUCGGGGGCCACCGAGGUUGUUUGGUUUGUUUUUUUUUGUUGUUGUUUUUUGUAAUAUCUUAUUUUUUAAUCAAUUAAUUAAAAAUCAAAAUACUAGCUAAUUUUAUUUUAAAGUUUUAAUUAACACAUUUUAAUCAAUGAAGGGAAAUAAAUAAAUAAAAAAGCCCUGUAUGUUUUUCACUUCAAGGUGUAGAUUUCUACUCAUUCUUAUUUUCACUUUAUUGCCACCAGGAAACCAAUAGAUCUUAUGGUUGUUUUAUUUGUGUGCAUAGGUAUCUGUUGUAGUUUUGAUUUUUAAAUUUGUUGAUGUUUUAGGGUAGGUGGUAUAUUAAAUUAUUGAAUUGUAUUAUGUAUAACUAGUGUUGAAGUAUACAAUUCCUAUUGCGUAAACCAUUUGCAUAAUAAAUUUCAUAAUAAUUCAAAACCUUGAAAAGCAUAGUUCUAAAGAAAGUAAAAGAAAACAUUAUCAUUUUCAAAUUUAUUUCAAUUGUAUUCAUUUGUUUAACUUAUUUUCUAUUUUAAAAUUGUUGUAAUUCAUAAAGACCUGUAGAUUUUUGAGGGGAAGAAACUUUUAUGAAGUAAAUUUGCUUUCGAAAUUUGAAAAAUAAAAAAAAUUGAAUAUGAUGUUCGUAUAUAUUUGUAAUUUUUCUAAUCCAUAGCUAUUCUUGUCUUUUAUAUCACUAUAUGCACUACAUAUACUUAAAACACAUAACUAUCUAUACAUGUAGAGGUCUUCAACACUAUCAGUUUCAAGUAGGUCAUUCAGCCUCUUAAUAAUUCACAAAGGCUCAUGCAUAGUAUUUUU
Non-coding RNA from Biomphalaria pfeifferi, 1133 nucleotides. Lineage: Eukaryota; Metazoa; Mollusca; Gastropoda; Planorbidae. The record is from the annotation of a GenBank genome assembly.